CUCACUCUUGGUGCAGAGAACCUCUGUCGA
RNAcentral lists this non-coding RNA (30 nucleotides) under Rattus norvegicus (Norway rat). Lineage: Eukaryota; Metazoa; Chordata; Mammalia; Rodentia; Muridae. The record is from RNAcentral.